AAGCGAAACGCCCUACGGGGCGUCUGCCAGGCGUGGUGGCCUGGUACUGAUGAGCAGCCAAAC
Molecule: non-coding RNA, 63 nt
Organism: Marinobacter sp.
Lineage: Bacteria; Pseudomonadati; Pseudomonadota; Gammaproteobacteria; Pseudomonadales; Marinobacteraceae
Source: Rfam